This 254-nucleotide ribosomal RNA is filed under the name uncultured bacterium. RNAcentral describes it as "partial 16S ribosomal RNA". It matches the Rfam family "Bacterial small subunit ribosomal RNA", at positions 524 to 777 of the family's 1533-position model. The record is from RNAcentral.
UACGUAGGGGGCAAGCGUUAUCCGGAAUCAUUGGGCGUAAAGCGCGUGUAGGUGGACGGGUAAGUAUCUUGUGAAAUCCCACGGCUCAACCGUGGAACUGCUGGAUAUACUGCUUGUCUUGAGGCACUUAGGGGCAGCUGGAACAAAUGGUGGAGCGGUGAAAUGCGUAGAUAUCAUUUGGAACGCCAAAGGCGAAAGCAGGCUGCUGGGAGUGAUCUGACACUGAGACGCGAAAGCCAGGGGAGCAAAGCGGG